ACAAAUAUUCUUUACUGUAACAAACCCAGUUUUUUCCAUUUCCAAGAUUUAUUUAGCCCCACAUGCCUCCUGAGCCACCUCCUCAAUGGAGAGCUCCAACAAGAUGUCUCAGUGUCUUCAUGUUUCACUCACCUGUGGAGUCAUGUUUGGCUGAAGAGUCAUAUCAGGUAUCCCUGGGUUCUUAUGUCAUACCAUCACCGUGAUAGCCAACUAUCAACUUUACAGCCUUCUACUUCUAUGUAAAUCACUGUGCCUGCUCCUAAGUUUCCUUUCUACAGGGUUGCAACCCCUGUCUGAAUUCCCUGCUGAAGGAUGGAGAACUAUUUUCUGGUUUACUAAAUGCCUCAUUUGAUCCUCCUGGCGUGAACAAUUUAGCAAAUGCCUAGAGCCUCUGAAAAUAUCUCUUGAAUAUUUGCAAUAGCUUCUGACUUCCACUGGCUGGUCCAUGUUACCCAGGUCACCAGAAUGUGAUAGAAAACUGAGGUUACACUAUCCUAAUCUGCCUCCAUUUUAUUUCUGAAUCCAUCUCACUACAAAAUCUCUCCUGCUCUACUGUUACAGACACAAGUUGCGAGGCAUAAAUGUAGAGAAAUGUUCUGAUUUGGGUUGGAGGCCCAGGUGGAGGUGGACAGGAGAUUGCAGUACACCAGAAGUGGCCCCCCUGACAUCUCCAUGACUGUGCCAUUCCACAGGGUAUGGGAGAAAUCUCUUUAAUGCCUGCAUGUAUAUUUCUAUACAUGCAUCCAUAAAAAUUGAGUUGUCUGCUUUCAUUCCAAGAUGCCAAACAUCUGGGUAUA
Molecule: long non-coding RNA, 797 nt
Filed under: Homo sapiens (human)
Lineage: Eukaryota; Metazoa; Chordata; Mammalia; Primates; Hominidae
Description: HSALNT0144691
Source: RNAcentral